GAUGAACGCUGACAGAAUGCUUAACACAUGCAAGUCAACUUGAACUUCGGUUUGGGUGGCGGACGGGUGAGUAACGCGUAAAGAACUUGCCUCACAGAUAGGGACAACAUUUGGAAACGAAUGCUAAUACCUGAUAUUAUGAUUUUAGGGCAUCCUAGGAUUAUGAAAGCUAUAUGCGCUGUGAGAGAGCUUUGCGUCCCAUUAGCUAGUUGGAGAGGUAACGGCUCACCAAGGCGAUGAUGGGUAGCCGGCCUGAGAGGGUGAUCGGCCACAAGGGGACUGAGACACGGCCCUUACUCCUACGGGAGGCAGCAGUGGGGAAUAUUGGACGAUGGACCAAGAGUCUGAUCCAGCAAUUCUGUGUGCACGAUGAAGUUUUUCGGAAUGUAAAGUGCUUUCAGUUGGGAAGAAAAAAAUGACGGUACCAACAGAAGAAGUGACGGCUAAAUACGUGCCAGCAGCCGCGGUAAUACGUAUGUCACAAGCGUUAUCCGGAUUUUAUUGGGCGUAAAGCGCGUCUAGGUGGUUAUAUAAGUCUGAUGUGAAAAUGCAGGGCUCAACUCUGUAUUGUGUUUGGAAACUGUGUAACUAGAGUACUGGAGAGGUAAGCGGAACUACUAGUGUAGAGGUGAAAAUUCUUUUAUUUUUGUAGGAAUGCCCAUGGUUAAUC
Molecule: ribosomal RNA, 670 nt
Filed under: uncultured Streptococcus sp.
Lineage: Bacteria; Bacillati; Bacillota; Bacilli; Lactobacillales; Streptococcaceae
Description: bacterial SSU rRNA
Rfam family: Bacterial small subunit ribosomal RNA
Source: RNAcentral